GGAUGGGAGAGAAUAGGAGACGGAGAGGAGAGCCGGGGUUGACAGCAAGAGGUCCAGAGGUCAACCUUUCGGAGUGUGAAUUUACUGGCCUGUGAAAAAAGACAUGGACGUUAAAGCCACUUACUUCGGAAGACAUCCAACUGAGAGCCAAAAAUGUAAUCAAAUUCAAAGCAUCUGAACACCCUUAAUGUACACGCCAAUGAAAUCAUUUGGCAAGUUCAGUAUCUUCCCGCUUAGCCUACUGAUUUUAGUCUAUCCUCACAACUGAAGACCUGAGCAAUGAGCUUUUUUGUUGUUGUUGUUGUACUAUGCCUGUGUAAUUGAUUACAAACACACACACACACAUAUAUACAAAGGUUUGGACACACCUACUCAUUCAAGGGUUUAUCUUUAUUUUUACUAAUUAUUUUUACUAAUUUUCUACAUUGUAGAAUAAUCGUGAAGACAUCAACACUACGAAAUAACACAUAUGGAAUCAUAUAGUAACCAAAAGUGUUAAACACAGCAAAAUAUAUUGUCUGGAUCGACUGAUCGUCAUGUCUUAAAGUAACCCCUCCACCCCCUCUUCAUGUCUUAAAGUAACCCCUCUUCAGAGGACAAAUAUCUUUGAGCUUAUUUUAACAGCUUUUUUUGCUACAUAUACAUUUUGCAUACAUGGUACUUUUCUAUAAAGCAGUCACAUAACAGUAAUACAUUACCAAACAUGAGCUCUUUAAUCCCAGCCCUCAGCCAAUCCCACCUAUCACCAUAGAUCACCCUCGUUUGGUUUCCAUGUGCCAUAUAUUUUUCAAUUGUGCUGUGAUGUUUAACAUACUUUAACCUUUCUAAUCGUAUAGCAUCCACAGAUUGUGAGCUAAAGAUGAAAAUCUUUCCUACGAGUAUUAUUUAUUGACUGACGAUGGCUGUCCCAAUUCGCCCAACAAUGCUAUUUGUAAGGUUAAUUAAAGUGCAUGUUGUGAUUUUUUUUUUUACCAUUCCUGAACCUGUGACCACAAGCAAGCUACAUAGAUCAUUUAUUUUGGUAUUGCCCCUAUUGAGCUACAGAGCUGAGAAUGUUGUAUGCCCCAUAUAUAAAGCAUUUUGUUGGUGGCAUAAAUGUUAUAUCAUUGAAAAACUCAAGUUUUGAAGCAAGUGCUUUUUUGAACAGUUCAUAAACCAUGUGCCAUGGAAUCGUAUGGCGCAGCUGUCAACAUUUGUCCUCAGAUGAAACUGGUAUAUUUUUCUUUUUAUGCCAAUUUCUUUUCAGACAAUUUGUAUCUUUAAUAUAUGGCAGGCAAACAAGUUCCCUACCUACUUCCCUUUUCCACUUGCCUCCUCCAUAAUUGUGGUAGUGCUGCAAUCAGUUGGUUGGAAGUUGGAUUGUGCAGACAAUCCCAUAUAUUUUCUAUUUCUAACUGCAUGUGUGACAUAACUCCUCCGUUUUUAUUCAGAAUAUCAUAUGUAUAUAUACACACAGUUGAAGUCAUUAGUUUACAUACACUUAGGUUGGAGUCAUUAAAACUUGUUUUUCAACCACUCCAAAUUUCUUGUUAACAAACUAUAGUUUUGGCACGUCGGUUAGGACAUCUACUUUGUGCAUGACAAAUAAUUUUUCCAACAAUUGUUUACAGACAGAUUAUUUCACUGUAUCACAAUUCCAGUGGGUCAGAAGUUUACAUACACUAAGUUGACUGUGCCUUUAAACAGCUUGGAAAAUUCCAGACAAUUAUGUCAUGCUUUAGAAGCUUCUGAUAAGCUAAUUGACAUCAUUUGAGUCAAUUGGAGGUGUACCUGUGAUUCAAGGCCUACCUUCAAACAGUGCCUCUUUGCUUGACAUCAUGGGAAAAUCAAAAGAAAUCAGCCAAGACCUCAGAAAAACAAUUGUAGACCUCCACAAGUCUGGUUCAUCCUUGGGAGCAAUUUCCAAACAUCUGAAGGUACCAUGUUCAUCUGUACAAACAAUAGUACGCAAAUAUAAACACCAUGGGACCACGCAGCUGUCAUACCGCUCAGGAAGGAGACGCGUUCUGUCUCCUAGAGAUAAACGUACUUUGGUGCGAAAAGAGCAAAUCAAUCCCAGAACAGCAGCAAAGGACCUUGUGACGAGUGUGAAGAUGCUGGACGGAAACCGGUACAAAAGUAUCUAUAUCCACAGUAAAACGAGUCCUAUAUCAUAACUUGAAAGGCCGCUGAUAAAAUUAUUUAUAUGUCUAAAGAUGAUUAAAUAAUUCCACUCUGAAACCAUAUAAUUGUAUGAAAUUUAUUAAAAUCGUAAAACUAUAAUCUGAUGUGUGUAGUUUUAGUCAGAAUUAGAACAAGGACCUUUUGUUCCUCUUUAGUAUGUAAGCAGGGUGCAAGUGUGAAACAAAUGAUAAGAGGAGCUGUCGACAGACAAGCUGGACAACUGUGUUCCUUACUGGACAUUCUGUCUCCACCCGUGGAGGGGAGAAACUUUUAGGCUUGCAGAAAAUUAUGAAACAUGUUGCAGAUUAAACAAUGUAUCUGUGUAGUGGAAAAACACAGACUGUCUGAGCAAGGCGUAGCUUAAGAUUCGAACUUGUCUGUGUGUGUUAUAAAGACUGGGUUUGCAUUUUUGAUGUUAGAACGUUCUCGUGAAUAAACUUUGACUAUUGUAAA
This is a long non-coding RNA of Salvelinus fontinalis (brook trout), 2616 nucleotides long. RefSeq lists it as uncharacterized. The record is from RefSeq and is a predicted model, not a curated record. The transcript has 2 exons. NCBI's taxonomy places the organism in Eukaryota, Metazoa, Chordata, Actinopteri, Salmoniformes, Salmonidae.